Molecule: long non-coding RNA, 3267 nt
Organism: Homo sapiens (human)
Lineage: Eukaryota; Metazoa; Chordata; Mammalia; Primates; Hominidae
Source: Ensembl
CACAGGCAGGCCGUACCUCGAAAUCCCAGCGGGGACACCUGUCAGGGAGACGCACCCUCACACCGCCCAUGCAUGCCCGACGCAUCUUUGGGAUCCUUAGGGAUCACGUGGUGCUUCCUUGAAUCUCCGCUUGAGGUUUCUUCAGGCAGGUUCGGCCUUGCCCGACUCCUAGGAUCGCAGGACCAUGGCGACGAUCCCGCGGAGAGGGGACGCACUGCCACAGACGCCUGGGGGCCAAGCCGCUGGGGCCAGUCCCCCGGCAACGGUGGCGGUUACUGUGACGCGAGUCCCCCCUCAGCGCUAGCGCCUGGUGAUCGCGCCUGGGCUCUUCCUGCGUCUCCAAGCUCAGGGGCUCCUGCUUCUCAGCACUGCUGUCUGGAAAAGGCGGGAACGAGGACUAAGGCAAGCCCAGUGUGGGGCAGAGAUGGCAACACCUGGAACUAGCUUUUCAUGGGGGCAGAUAAUGUGGAGAGUGUCCCAAUUACAUCUCCCUUUAUUCUAUCCCAUACUACUAAACCCCACCAGCUAUUUGCCUACAAACUGUGUAUCAGUCAGGACAUCAGGACACCAAGAUAAAGGACUAGAGUUUGGUAAUCAACUACUGGCUCCUCCAGCAGCUCAGAAUGUGGCCUGUAUGCAUCACUUCACUUAAUUCAUUCAAGAAAUGCUGACUGAGUUCCUGCUGUGUGUUGGACACUUUCUUAGAAGUGGGACACACUGCAGUGUGUGGGACAAAGGCUGGGCCGCUCAUUGCUUAUGUUCUAGUUGAAGAGAGAGUCAAUCAACAACAUUCUACUUUCAGACAUUGAUAAAUGCUGUCAUGAAAAGACAAGGAACAUGAAAAGGUAAGAAAAGGGAUGGAGAGAGAUGGGAUGAGGGGUGCCUGGGCAGACAAUGCAAUGAUCUGGCAAAAGAGUAGGACAAUCAUGAGACUGCAUGUGUUCCAGUUUCUGCUGCUGUAAAACAGCAUCCACAGGUUACAUCUUUACUAUUCUGUUACAUACAUACUAUUAUUUAAAUAAAAAAUAGUACUAGUUAACUGUGAAAAUUGCAAUUAAUAGGGCAGAUUAAACAAAUCCUUUAAAUUUAAACAAAUGUUUUAUGGUUUUUUAUCCUCUGAUACAUUGUUUCAACUUUAAAAAACCCUCUUUAUUUGAUAUUUAAACUCUAUAUUAAUGUAUAUUCUUAAGAUACAUAAAUUUAAGAUUUUUUUCGAGACAGGGUCUCAUUCUGUCACACAGUCUGGAGUGCUGUGGUGCAAUUAUGGUUCACUGCAGACUCCACCUCUCCAGGCUCAGAUAAUCCUCCUGCCUCAGACUCCUGAGUAUCUGGGACCACAGGUGUGCAUCACCACACCCAGCUAAUUUCUUGUAUUUUUUUGUUGGGAUGGGGUUUUGCGAUGUUGCCCAGGCUGGUCUCAAACUCCUGGGCUCAAGUGAUCUGCCUGCCUUGGUGUCUCAAAGUGUUGGGAUCACAGGCGUGAGCCACCACAUCCAGCCUAAUUUAAGAUUUUUAAAAAGCAGAAUGUAAAUAUGGUCAUGCAUUGUGUAAUUCUGUGGAUACUUUCUGAGUAAUGCAUGGUUAGGUGACUUCAUCAUUAUGUGAACAUUAUAGAGUGUACAUACACAAACCUAGAUGAUGUAGCCUGAUGGUACAGCCUAUCACUUCGAGGCUACAAAUCCAAAUUGCCUGGAUACUGUAAACAAUUAUACUCAAUGGUAUUUGUGUAUCUAAACAUGUCUAAACAUAGAAAGGGUACAGUAAAAAUAUGGUAUAAAAGAUAAGAAAUCGUAUACCGGUAUACAGCACUUACCGUGGAUGGAGCUUGCAAGACUGGAAGUUACUCCGGGUGAGUCAGUGACUGAGCGGUGAGUGAAUGUGAAGGCUAGGGCAGUACUGUAUACUACUGUAGACUUUAUAUGUACUGUAUGCUUAGGCUACACUAAAUUUAUUUGAAUUUUUUUGUCGGUAAUAAAUUAACCUUAGCUUACUAUAAUUUCUUUAUAAACCUUUUAAUUUUUAAAAAUGUUUUGACUCUCUUGUAAUAAAUUAGCUUCAAACACAUUGUAUAGCUGUACACAAAUAUUUUCUUUAUAUCCUUAUUCUAUAAUCUUCUACUUAAAAAUUUUUUUAAUUUUUUUAUUUUAAUUUAAUUUUAUUUUAUUUUGAGACAGAGUCUCACUCUCUCGCCCAGGCUGGAGUGCAGUGGCGUGAUCUUAACUCACUGCAACCUCCGCUUCCCAGGUAAUAUUAUUUAAAUAAAAAUAGUACUAGUUAACUGUGAAAAUUGCAAUUAAUAGGGCAGAUCAAGCAAUUCUCUUGCCUCAGCCUCCAGACUUUUUUGUUAAAAACUAAGACACAAACACAUUAGCCUAGGUACACACAGUGCCAGGAUCAUCAAAAUGUCAUUAGGCAGUAUAAACUUUUCAGCUCCAUAAAAGUUGGAAAAAAAAUAAUAAUAAUAAAUACAAUUUUAUAAAAAGAAAAUUUUCAGCUCUGCUAUAAUCUUAUGGGACCACUACUGUAUAUGUGGUCCCUCAUUGACCAAAACAUCAUUAUGUGGCACAUGAUUAUAACAAAUGAUGGAUGGCGAGGUUGUGAAGAAACUGGAACCCUUGUGCAUUACUGGUUGUAAUAUAAAAAGGUACAGCCACUGUAAAAAAAAAACACAGUUUGGUUAUUUCUUCAUAAGUUAAUCAUAGAAUUACCAUAUAAUCCAGCAAUUUCACUUCUAGGUAUAUGCCCAAAAUAAUUGAAUAAGGUGUUUAAACAUAAACUUGUACAAGAAUGUUCAUAGCAGUACAUUUCACAAUACUCAGAUAAUCCUCUCAUUGGAAGCAACUCAAAUGUCCACCAACUGAUGGUAUUACCCAUGCAAUGGAAUAUUAUUCAGUCAUAAAAAGGAAUGAAGUACUGAGGCAUGUUACAACAUGAAGGAACUUUGAGGACAGUUUGUUAAUACGCUAUAUACUGUGUAAUUCUAUUUAUAUGAAAUAUCCAGAAUAGGUAAAUCAUUAGAGACUAGAGACAGCAGAUUAGUGGAUGCCAGGAGUUUGGGGAAGGAAGGGGUGGGAAGAAUGGGAAGUGACUGCUUAAUGGAUACAGGGUUUCUUUUUGGGGUGAUGAAAAAUUUCUGGAACUAGAUUGUAGUGAUGGUUGCACAACACCGUAAGUGUAAUAAUGUCACUGAAUUAUACACUUUAAAGUGAUUUAAAUGGUAAAUUGUAUUAUUUAUGUAUUUUACCACAAUAAAGAAGUCACCUAUCA